AUGGCAAAUGUUUUGAGAAGGAUGGACAUUGAUGUACCGACAAUGGGCUUUCUUUAUGGAUGUAUGUUGGAUGCAAAGAAAGAGAUUUCAGUGAGGUUUGACAAUGAAAAGUCUCGGUUUCUAGAAGUAUCGGACAUUAUUCACAAGAGAUGGGACAAUAAACUCAAGGCCACAUUGCAUAGGGCUGGAUACUACUUGAACCCAUACGACUACUAUCCAAACAAGGGGGGUAUCGAGCUUGAUGGCACACUGAAGGAAGGACUAAUAAUUUGUAUUUCAAAGAUGAUUGAAGAUCCUAUCAAACAAGAAGAAAUCACCGAUGACAUUGAUAAUUAUAACAAGGAGAUAGGAUCAUUUGGAAGGGACAUUGCUGUACGGGGGCGGAAAAAUAAAAAAAUUGAUCCAGGUAAAUGGUGCUAA
This 420-nucleotide ribosomal RNA is filed under the name Triticum aestivum (bread wheat). RNAcentral's name for it is "partial small subunit ribosomal RNA". The record is from RNAcentral. Lineage: Eukaryota; Viridiplantae; Streptophyta; Magnoliopsida; Poales; Poaceae.